This 28-nucleotide small RNA is filed under the name Bombyx mori (domestic silkworm). Its description in RNAcentral is "ovarian small RNA-36600". Lineage: Eukaryota; Metazoa; Arthropoda; Insecta; Lepidoptera; Bombycidae. The record is from RNAcentral.
UUACGUUCAAAAAUAUUAAUGCGAUGUA